UGAUAAAUAAACAUUUACUCUAAGAAAUCAUGGAAAAUAACACUGAUUUUGAUAGUACAAAUCCGCAAAAGAUAUCCAUAAACAGUGAGUCAAUCACAGAAAAUAUACAGAUUAAAAUAACUAAAAAAUCAAGGAAAAUAAGAAAGAAACUGAAAAAACUAUAUAUAGAAUAUGAAUACCUAAGUAUUACAAAAAUAAACAAAGCUAGGUUGUCUGAAUUAAUUGAUAUAAUAUCUAAAACAGAAUAUAAAUAUAUUUUCCAUCUUAAAAAUAAAAGAUGAAUAAAGAAGAAUUCGCACUAGAAGAAAAAACAUAUGAAAAUCCAGAAGGAUUAAAAAUAACAAUAAUAUUUUCCAACUUAGGAAGAAGAUACAAGAAAAUAGGAAAUAACCUGAACUUAAUGUUAGAAAAAGAAACUAUAAAACUAGAAGAUAGUUUAACCGCAAUGGUUAGAAUAACAAAAGAAAACGAAGAAAUAGACAGAAAACGAGAAAUUAAAGAAAUACAACAGCAAGCUAAAGAAAAAAUACAACAGAUAGAAGAAGUAAAAAACACUAAAAUAACAGAAUUAGAAAAAGAAUUGGAAAUGCUAAAACAGCUAUAUACUAAUAAACUAAAAGAAAAAGAGAAACGUAAAGAAGAAGAACAAGAGCUAAGACUGACAAAUGAGAUAGAAAAAUUUAAAAUACAGUUAGAAGAGGUACAGGAUAAUCCACCAAAUAUAAGCAUAAAUGAAAUAAAUGACCAAAGUGAUGACGACAAAGAUCUAGUAGAAAACUAUUCGGAAACAAGUGAGACGUACACAGAACUUAUAGAAAAAACAGAAAAGAUAAAAACAAAUCCAGAAAUAAAUACAGGGGAUAUGACUGAAGAUAAACCAAGAACAUUAGGAGUAAAAAAUCCAAGACAACUAAACCCAACCUAUUACAGAGUAAGUUAUGAUUCAUAUGAUAGAAACAAAACAUUAUGGGAUAAAAGGCUAAAUAGGAAAUGGACACCAAGACAGAUAACUGAACAAUGUAAUUUUUUAGAUCUAGAUUGUAUAGCAGAUAUAAAUAAAACAAUCCAAUUAUGGAUAGGAUAUAUCUCAAAACAACUAAUAGAUAAUAAAAUAGUAAUAGCUGAAACGCCAGGAUAUAUAGAAAGAACACUUAUAGGAACGGUAAAAUUAUGGUUACAAAAUUUAUCAGGUGAAAGCUUAGAUACAUUAAGAAGUAAUAAAAACUGGAUGAUACAACUGCAACAACAGUUACAGAUAUAUUGAAUAAAUAUGAAAUAGCAAUAAGAAGUGAAUUUAGUAGUAUGACAACAGAAGUAGAAGAACAAAAUAAAGAAAAGACUACAAAUAGAAAUUUAAUGACAAAAUUAGCAAUAUGUAAUAUGUGUUAUAUAGAUGAAUAUACUUAUGCAUUUAGAGACUAUUAUUAUAAAGGAACAUAUAGUCCAGAUGAAAGUAAGGAGAUAAGAAAAUUAUAUUUUACAAAAUUACCAGAACCGUUUAGCUCAAAAGUAAUAAAAAAUUGGAAUGAAGCAGAACUAGCAGAUACUCUAGGAGCUCGAAUAAAAUUUCUACAAAACUGGUUUAUAGAAUUAUAUGAAAAAUAUAAAGAAAAUAUCAAAAUGGAUAAAAUAUUAGUAAAAAAUUUGGCAUGUUGCAAAAAUAGAAUAGCACCCAAUUUGGCUGCAUAGAUAAAUAUUACAAAAAAGAAGGAAAGAGAAGAAGAUAUAAAUAAUAAUGAAAUAGAUGAAUCAGACGAUGAAAAUUAUGACUGAAAAAGAUAUACAAAUUAUACAACAAGAAGAACACCAAGAUGGAACGAUCUUCAGAACAGAAAAUAAUAUUUGACACCACUAUAUUUGAACAAAUAAAAGGAAAAGAAUUGGAUCUAAGCAUAGACAAAAUAUUAGAAGUACCAACAAUAAAGAAUUGGUUUAAAAGACAAAAAGAAGAAUACUAUGUAGUAAGACAAAGAGAACACAUAAUAGACUGUAAAUACAUUAAAGGUAAAGCAAGAAUACCAAUUUUAAAUAAAAAACUACUAAAUAAAGAAAUACAAGAUAUAAAAGCAAAAA
RNAcentral lists this long non-coding RNA (2073 nucleotides) under Nicotiana tabacum (common tobacco). RNAcentral describes it as "long non-coding RNA (NTAB_LNC018458)". Lineage: Eukaryota; Viridiplantae; Streptophyta; Magnoliopsida; Solanales; Solanaceae. The record is from RNAcentral.